CCUACGGGAGGCAGCAGUGAGGAAUAUUGGUCAAUGGACGAGAGUCUGAACCAGCCAAGUAGCGUGCAGGAUGACUGCCCUAUGGGUUGUAAACUUCUUUUAUAUGGGAAUAAAACGUUCCACGUGUGGGAUUUUGUAUGUACCAUAUGAAUAAGGAUCGGCUAACUCCGUGCCAGCAGCCGCGGUAAUACGGAGGAUCCGAGCGUUAUCCGGAUUUAUUGGGUUUAAAGGGAGCGUAGGUGGAUUGUUAAGUCAGUUGUGAAAGUUUGCGGCUCAACCGUAAAAUUGCAGUUGAAACUGGCAGUCUUGAGUACAGUAGAGGUGGGCGGAAGUCGUGGUGUAGCGGUGAAAUGCUUAGAGAUCACGAAGAACUCCGAUUGCGAAGGCAGUUCACUGGACUGCAACUGACACUGAGGCUCGAAAGUGUGGGUAUCAAACAGGAUUAGAUACCCCAGUAGUC
This 460-nucleotide ribosomal RNA is filed under the name uncultured bacterium. Its description in RNAcentral is "partial 16S ribosomal RNA". It matches the Rfam family "Bacterial small subunit ribosomal RNA", at positions 338 to 795 of the family's 1533-position model. The record is from RNAcentral.